RNAcentral lists this unclassified non-coding RNA (266 nucleotides) under Hevea brasiliensis (rubber tree). Lineage: Eukaryota; Viridiplantae; Streptophyta; Magnoliopsida; Malpighiales; Euphorbiaceae. The record is from RNAcentral.
UCCCAGGCCAGCAGCACGUCGCCGACUCCGCGCUCAACGAACGUUACGGUCGAUCCGCGCGCGCCGGUAUCGAGCACCGGCACAUUCUUGAAGAUGUCGCCGACGAACUUCUUCGCUUUGUCUUCGCCGCCGAAUUUCUUCAGCGCGUAACCCCACGCUGCAAGAUAAUUCCAGCGCGCGCCGCCGGAGGUCUUCGGGUUGGGCGUGAUGACCUGCACACCGCUCUUGAUCAGAUCGUCCCAGUCCUUGAUGCCCUUGGGAUUGCC